Hyla sarda is the source of this 1271-nucleotide long non-coding RNA. RefSeq lists it as uncharacterized. NCBI's taxonomy places the organism in Eukaryota, Metazoa, Chordata, Amphibia, Anura, Hylidae. The record is from RefSeq and is a predicted model, not a curated record. The transcript is spliced from 4 exons.
UAUAGAGCGCCGCAUCCCAGAGUAAUAAGUGCCCUCGGACGUGCGAACAGCGACACCCGCUGGUGGGAGUGCUCUCUGCUGACACCUGAUGCCCGUAUCAGGAACUGUCCAGAGCAGGAGAAAAUGUCAAAAAGAAAAAUGAAGAAGGAAGGCUGACAUCUCUAACUUCACUCCUCACGUCUACCAAAAAGUAUGCUAAGAGAUCGACAUGGCGGUCGAUCCGGACGGAGAAGAAAAGGAAAGAGGACACCGCUGAUCAGAAAAUACGUAAUUAAUCCACCGUGACCUUAAAUUCUCUGCGAUAGAGGAUGUGAUGGUGACUCUACAGCUGAGCGGGUCUGGAGGAAGCUGCUUCCUGUUUUGUAGACACUCAAUGCCACGGAACAAUGGGUGGAAGAAAUAUUGUACUAUACAGACUGAAGUGUCUGGCAGUCAGGAAAAGUCUUUUUUUUUUUUUCGAUUUCCACAAACCCACUUGGACGAAUUCCCUAAGAGAGGUAAACACAACAGGAGCACUCUGACCCCUCCUCUAGGGCACAUUUCAAUAAAGUUUUCUUGUAAUAACAUCACUUUGGUGGAAACGUUCCUUAUAAUGAUAUCCUCAAAUUGCCAAUUGACUACCCUGCCUCCAUCCUAACCAAUGGUUGGUAAAAAUUCCCUGCCUCCAGCUAUGGAAGCAUCCAUGAGCCCGACACUGCCAGAGCCUCUGUGGGAAGGUCCGAAGCUGAAGGGAUCAAGAGUGACAAAAGUAAAGGAUGGAAAGAGAAAAGAAGGGAAGAAAGAAAAGUAAAUGAUAAAUCUGGGGCCUAAGUUAACUCAGGGGUCAGAUUUGGGGUCAGAGUUAACUUAGUGGUCUGGUGUCUGAUGGUGUUUAGCAGUCUGGUCUGAGAUCUGGACUUAGUGGUCUGACUGGGGUCUUAAUUUAUUUAGGGGUCUGUUCUGGGGUCAGAGAUAACUUAGAGGUUUGGGAUGAGAUCUGGAUUUAGUUAGUGGUCUGAUUGGGGUCUGAAUUUAUUUAGGGGUCUAUUCUGGGGUCAGAGAUAACUUAGAGGUUUGGGAUGAGAUCUGGAUUUAGUUAGUGGUCUGAUUGGGGUCUGAAUUUAUUUAGGGGUCUAUUCUGGGGUCAGAGAUAACUUAGAGGUUUGGGAUGAGAUCUGGAUUUAGUUAGUGGUCUGACUGGGGUCUGAAUUUAUUUAGGAGUCUGUUCUGGGGUCAGAGAUAACUUAAAAGUUUGGGAUGAGAUCUGGGUUUGACUAGUGGUCUGAUUGGAA